UGUCCCGGUUGGUUGGAUCCCUGUCUUGGCAGCGACAACCGCUUGGUCUUACAUGUUCAUUCUGUCGGAGAGCUUUAUAAUUAGGCCCUUGGAUGAGACUGGUGCCCUGCGCAAUAUACCUUUUAUGAUGGAAUGUCACAGUCCCAUAGUCCCUAAUUAAUCUCGCGCACUUUAUUUUGUGCGAGAUUGACAAUGAAUCUAACAUGGCCUCCCUCUCUUUCAUUUCCUUUUGGUUUUUGUAAGUGUUGGAAGGUCAUGUUGCAAGAAAUCUUGAAUGCAGAACCAGUAAUCGGUUAUGGUCCUUGCCCGUACUUUUCCGAUAUAAAUGUCCCUCACGAAUGUCCGUCGUGCCUUGUGUUGACUCAAGGAUGCUAAUGUAUCUUUUGAUCAUGCUUGGCCCUCGGCAAGAAGGAAUGC
RNAcentral lists this unclassified non-coding RNA (417 nucleotides) under Daucus montanus. RNAcentral describes it as "partial external transcribed spacer". Lineage: Eukaryota; Viridiplantae; Streptophyta; Magnoliopsida; Apiales; Apiaceae. The record is from RNAcentral.